RNAcentral lists this unclassified non-coding RNA (338 nucleotides) under soil metagenome. RNAcentral describes it as "partial contains 5.8S ribosomal RNA, internal transcribed spacer 2, and large subunit ribosomal RNA". The stretch from base 1 to 121 matches the Rfam family "5.8S ribosomal RNA", at positions 35 to 154 of the family's 154-position model. The record is from RNAcentral.
GAUGAAGAACGUAGCGAAAUGCGAUAAGUAAUGCGAAUUGCAGAAUUCCAGUGAAUCAUCGAAUCUUUGAACGCACAUUGCGCCCCAUGGUAUUCCGUGGGGCAUGCCUGUUCGAGCGUCAUUUACCCCCUCAAGCUCCGCUUGGUGUUGGGCGUCUGUCCCGCUUCGCGCGCGGACUCGCCCCAAAGGUAUUGGCAGCGGUCGUGCCAGCUUCUCGCGCAGCACAUUGCGCUUCUCGAGGCACCGGUGGGCCCGCGUCCAUCAAGCUCACCCCCCCAGUUUGACCUCGGAUCAGGUAGGGAUACCCGCUGAACUUAAGCAUAUCAAUAAGCGGAGGA